Molecule: unclassified non-coding RNA, 1734 nt
Filed under: Hevea brasiliensis (rubber tree)
Lineage: Eukaryota; Viridiplantae; Streptophyta; Magnoliopsida; Malpighiales; Euphorbiaceae
Source: RNAcentral
GCACAUCUCCACUUAGCAAGUUGCCUGUUAAGUAGCUAAUCAAGCAAUCAACUGAUUAGCAUGCUAUAUCAAUGAUAGGUCAUGGAAACAAUUAUAAGAAGUCCAAUAUGAAAAUUUUAUGUUGAGUUCACAGAUAUAGGGUACAUUGUCCUAUUAUAAAUACGUCUGUUUUUAAUGCUCAAAAGUAUAUCAGGUUUAUUGUGCAUACAUCUGCUUGGUACUUUUGGUUCAAAUUGUUUGUUCUGUUCAUAAAAUUUAUUAUACUUUUUGCAGUGAGAUUCAUAAAAAUUUAAGCUGCAUACUUACACAAAUCGUAGAUGCUGUGCAGGUAUGGAAUCUGGAAUUCUCCCAACCAAAUUGUUGAAGCUGACAUCCCUAUAAGAAAUACAACAGAACAAUGUCAAUAGAAGUAGUUUUCUUGCAUUCUUGCUCCCAAAAAUCAACCAUUAACGCUUGAGAUAAGCAAAGUAGGAAAUAAAAACAAAAAGAAGGAAACAUUGCUUUUGCAUUUUGUGCAAAAUAACUAAAGCAAACCAUUGUCAUUUAUAACAUGGAAGCAAACUAGACGAUGAUAAAAUAAAGUAAGAUGAAAAGAGAAUACAGAACUAGGGCGGCUUACUGAAUUUGACCAAACAUACAUGUUCAUAAACUAGGCAUAAGUAUUGUUUAUGCUGUUUAAAUAAGCUAAUUCAUGGAUUAGCUGUGUUGUUUCAAUUAAAUGCCUUGUUCCAUUUAAAUAAUAAUAAAAGGAACAUUUGUGUUAGUAGAAUGGCUACAACGAGGUUUAUAAGAGUUCAAAAACAUUUGGAUUUUAAGAUUUUCAGGAAACAAUAUGAAGUGAUAACAAGGGAAUAGUACAAAUAGAAGUAGGUCAACGUGUGGAUCUAUCCUGAAGCAUUCAUCAAAGUUCUUUCCAUUAUUCAGCAACUGUAAGACAGUGGAAAAGCAAUGACCUUACAAGCAAGGUUAAUAUCAUACCUCACACUAAAUGCAAUUCAGAUGUCAAAAACAAUCCAAUCCAUGGAUGACCAAAAGAUGGUUCUGAGGUCCAAGUAUCCCAUCAAAAAUAUUAUUCAGUUAAUAAUAUUCUUUGUCAAUGUUUCCAGAAGUCCAUUAGAGAAAUCCCAGCUCAAAAACUUCUGCUUAACAUUGACGUCAAUGUUUCACUAAGAAAGUGCAUCUAUAAUCUGACAAUAAAUAUCAGCAUCAGCAUUCAAGAUUCAGGUGUCUAUUCGUAGAACGCCACUGCAGCUUAACAUUGGUUUAAUUUAAUUGAUGACUAUUGCUAUUUUUCUAGGCCUUUCUUCCUUUUCUCUCUAAUGCAACAGCACGAAAAUCACCAUAAUCAUUUUUACCAACAUUCAUAUAAGACUUAUAAUCACCUUCCAGAUCAAGUUGUCAAUGUUUCUCAAAGUUAUUAAGGGAUUCCACUUGCAGUCGUUUUGCUUCACUGAAGCAAACAAUCAGAGUUUAGAGGGGCAUAUUCAAUUUAAUACUGGUUUGGGAAUUUAUUUGCCAAGCUUUACAUGGUGUACUUACAACAGUUCCAAACUCUUCAUCCUCCAGAUGUACACAGGAAGCUCCCCAGAAAUGUUACAGUUCCUCAAAACCCUAGUAAUAAAUAACCGACUCACAUUAAGUCACCAUCAUCAAAUUAAAAAAGCUACAGUUCAUAAAUGCAAACUUUUGUGACAUAAUUAAUUCAACGCACAAUCUUAUUAUGCCUGUCAUGUU